Long non-coding RNA from Mustela erminea (ermine), 1091 nucleotides. RefSeq lists it as uncharacterized. The transcript is spliced from 3 exons. NCBI's taxonomy places the organism in Eukaryota, Metazoa, Chordata, Mammalia, Carnivora, Mustelidae. The record is from RefSeq and is a predicted model, not a curated record.
UUGACGGGGGAGCUCCCCUGGUCCCUGCUCCUGCACUGCCCUCCACCGCCUGCAGAGGGCGCCGGGCCCCACCUCCCGCCCUGAGCCUGGCCUGCGCAGCCGCAGCUGAGACAGCCGCCAGGCCUCCUCGGGACCGCUGUGGAGACUUCUGGAGGACGUGGUGCCACUGCCACGCUAACAGGACAAGCUGGGGAGGACGUGGGGCCGCUUGCACACUGACAGCCGUGCAGCCCCCUCUGGACGGCCACUGGAGCAGACAAAGAAGCGAUCAGUGUGUGAAGAAGAAUUGAGAGACACAGGAGUUUGGACUCGGGCUGGUAAAUGACAAAGAAGUAACUGGGAAGAUAAAGCUCAGAGCAGCCUCCAAGCCCUGCAUCUCGAGAUUCCAUGACCUGUGCCUCCUGCCUUCAUUUGAGGACCUCGGUGGUUUCCUGUUGCUCCCGUGGCAGUUCCUGGAUCACUGGAGGGAUCGUACCCUUGUCUGUGCUUUGACCUCUUCCUGUCCUGCACGGAGCUCACCCAUCUUUGCACCUUCCAUGGAUGUACUUGGAAGCACGCUUAUCCACAGGGAACCUAUUGGCCAAAGGGAUCCAGGGAACGACCGUUGAAUUAGCGAUCCAGGAUAGAGAACCAGCCUGCUCUGAACCCUGUCCUGCACUCUGUGACUGUCUUACAUUAAAACAGAAACAGUAACAGCUUUCUGGACUGUGAAGUGGCAUCUGUCUCUAUGUACACCGUUGAAUGCCAGGUGCAGAGCCGGGACAGAAAGCAACCAUGGCUCCUGUGGGCUGGGAUCAACAGUUUAAGUGUGAGAACUCAGUGAAAUCUGAAUAAAUAUUGUCGAGGAAAUACUCCCAAGUAGGACUUAUGAACAUUGCACAGCAAAAGCUUUUUCAAAUAGGUUACUGAAAGAAAAAUUGUUUUUAUGUUUUGUUUUAAUUCCAGUUGACUUAACAUACAGUGGUGUAUUCGUUUCAGAUGUACAACAGGGUGAUUCUGUGGUUUGGUAUGUUACUCCGUGCUCAUCGGGAAAAGCAUAAUCUUAAUUCCCUUCACCUAGUUCACUCUUCCUUCCACCCACCUCCCCUUUG